This is a non-coding RNA of Pocillopora verrucosa, 866 nucleotides long. NCBI's taxonomy places the organism in Eukaryota, Metazoa, Cnidaria, Anthozoa, Scleractinia, Pocilloporidae. The record is from RefSeq and is a predicted model, not a curated record.
CUCAUACCACCAAACAUCACGAGAUUCUCCUGUGCAUUCGACAGGGAAUUGCAAGUCCCGAUCUGGAGGGAUUUAGAGAGAAGUUUGCGAAUAUUAGCUUUUAUUCAAACCGGCAGUGAAUCUGAGUGAAUCUAGUCUAUGAAAUGAAGUCAUCAGAUCUUCAGCGAGAACUCAAAUGAAAGGGACGGUCAGGGAACAUACGCACCCUCUCCGAAAGGCUCGAAUUAGCAAGAUACUCGAGUGGCCUGCGCAAGAUGAGCCCGAAAGCAAACAUCGAAUGCUAAGAAAUCCCUUGCCGUUCAUACACAUCUAUAUUUAUGGAAUAUUUCCAACGCGUUAAAUGGUCUUUGAAGGGAAAAGUAUACAUGCGGUGCAUGCAAACUUUCAUGCUUGGUUUUCAACGGCCGCCAUCUUUGCUUCGUCAUUAAACGUAUUUUUGUCAAAUGUAAAUUGUAGAGCUGUUGUUCACUUAGAAACUUUCAGUCUCUCUUGACAACUCCUUAAAUUACAACCUCGAACUUGGAAAAAUAAAUCAUCCAAAUCAAGUUGUAUAAAUGUUAGUAUUUUGAUCGGAAUGAGGAGAGAGAGGUUUCGUUAUCUCUCUCUCUCUCUCCCUUAGUUUCAAUUUUCUACCGAACUCGUUUCGCCAAGCUUGAACUGGAAUGAUUUGAGCAUGUAUCUCUAACAAAGACUGCUUUCUUUCUUUGUGAUAAUCUGGAGAAAGGGUUCUCCUGCUGUACAAUAUUAUUACAACAUGUGUGAUGCUGGCUUCGAUUGCGUGCAAAAGCAAACAUGGUGAAGGAUGUACUUUUUAUUUGCGAACUUGAAAUCAUAUCAAGGCUGACAAAAUACAACUACACUUUUGA